UUCCGGCGGUAUUGGCCGAUAUGACGGAUGACGACGAUACUUGUACAAUUGCGGUUUAAUUUUCACGUAGCGGUGUUUUUUUCGAGUUUCGUGUUUUUUCUUGUUGUUGUUUUGUGCGUGCAUUUUGUGUGUAUGGCCACGGUCGAAUGCGCAUGCGAGUAAAGUCAAAUAAACAAAUAAUUUAACAACAAGAAGCGGCAACGACUCGAGCAUCAGUCAGUCAAUCGGGCUGUCAGUCAGUCAGGCAGGCAGAUGAACAGUUGAGCCGGGCCGGUCGGUGGUGGCAGUAAAUGACAAAAAAGUGCAAGCAGCAAGCGAAGUUAAAGUGAAGCAAAGCAAAAGUGGUAAAAAAAAAUCUGUGACAGUUAGUGCAAAAGAAGUGAACGAAAAAAAGGAGCAAACGAAGUGAGCGAAAAGGGAGCAAAAAGCGAGUUUAAAAAAGUGAACAAAGAAGUUUUAAAAGAAGUAUUAAGAAAGUCAGAAAAAACGGGAGCAAAAAGGGGAGUGAAAAAGAGGAGCAAAAAAUGUGAGAAAAAUUUUUCCAACAAAAAAAUAUGCAAAAAAGUGACAGUUGUGAUGAGUGAAGCAAGCAAAUGUCUGUGAAGUGAUUGUCGUUAUACAUAUGUAUGUAUGUAUGGAGACAAGAAAAGCAAGAACAACAAAAACGAAACAAACAGCAAGCAGCAGCAUUUGCUAACUGCACUUUGUCGCAUUGACAGUUAAUUUGCUGUGGAGCGCCGCAAGUGUGGCCAACAGCGAUCAAAAGUACCAGCAGCAGCAAAAGAAUAACAAAAAAGCAGCAACAAAAGCUUUAGGAAUCCUUUAAUGGUUGCUGCUCGCUUGCGCAAAAAAAUUUCCAAGCUUUUCUCUACCUUCCCCCUCUCCCCUCAUUGUCAAGCGAGCUGGUUGUGUUGCCACGCCCCGAGUUAACUGUUCGAUAUCAAAAAGCAAAACCGCUGAGAACCAACAGCCGCCUGGCCUCUUAGCGGCCCAUUAGUGACUACAACAACAACAACACUCCAUUGCAACUAGCCAAAAACCAGACAGAAAAAGAAACGAUAGCAACAACAACAAUAGCCAAGAGUUGCACUAACUGCAUCCGACGUCGCUGCGCCAUCAGCUCAACCUCAGCUGUCAUUAGUUGACGUUUUAAUUGCGGCUUCGAUUUGCUGCUUUGCAAUUUGCAUUCAAACUCGGCAAGACAAUAGCCGCAAACUGUGUGCAACAACAA
Long non-coding RNA from Rhagoletis pomonella (apple maggot), 1231 nucleotides. RefSeq lists it as uncharacterized. The transcript is spliced from 2 exons. The record is from RefSeq and is a predicted model, not a curated record. NCBI's taxonomy places the organism in Eukaryota, Metazoa, Arthropoda, Insecta, Diptera, Tephritidae.